Molecule: ribosomal RNA, 1435 nt
Filed under: uncultured bacterium
Lineage: Bacteria
Description: bacterial SSU rRNA
Rfam family: Bacterial small subunit ribosomal RNA
Source: RNAcentral
UUUGAUCAUGGCUCAGAACGUACGCUGGCGGCACGCCUAAUACAUGCAAGUCGAACGAAGUAGCAAUACUUAGUGGCAGACGGGUGAGUAACAUGUAGGUAUCUACCCUUUGGCCUGGAAUAACACGAGGAAACUUGUGCUAAUACCGGAUAAGUCUUUACGGAGAAAGCUUUAUGCACCAUUGGAUGAGCCUGCACUUGAUUAGUUUGUUGGUGGGGUAAUGGCCUACCAAGACUGUGAUCAAUAGCUGAUUUGAGAGGAUGAUCAGCCACAUUGGGACUGAGACACGGCCCAAACUCCUACGGGAGGCAGCAGUAAGGAAUCUUGCACAAUGGGGGAAACCCUGAUGCAGCGAUGCCGCGUGAGUGAAGAAGGCCCUUGGGUUGUAAAACUCUUUCGUCGGGGAAGAAAAUGACUGUACCCGAAUAAGAAGGUCCGGCUAACUUCGUGCCAGCAGCCGCGGUAAUACGAAGGGACCUAGCGUAGUUCGGAAUUACUGGGCUUAAAGAGCUCGUAGGUGGUUAAAAAAGUUGAUGGUGAAAUCCCAAGGCUCAACCUUGGAACUGCCAUCAAAACUUUUUAGCUAGAGUGUGAUAGAGGUAAGUGGAAUUUCUAGUGUAGAGGUGAAAUUCGUAGAUAUUAGAAAGAACACCAAAUGCGAAGGCAACUUACUGGGUCACUACUGACACUGAGGAGCGAAAGCAUGGGUAGCGAAGAGGAUUAGAUACCCUCGUAGUCCAUGCCGUAAACGAUGUGUGCUAGACGUUGGAAAUAUAUUUUUCAGUGUCGCAGCGAAAGCAUUAAGCACACCGCCUGGGGAGUACGACCGCAAGGUUAAAACUCAAAUGAAUUGACGGGGACCCGCACAAGCAGUGGAGCAUGUGGUUUAAUUCGAAGAUACGCGCAGAACCUUACCAACGCUUGACAUGUUCGUCGCGAGACUAAGAGAUUAGUUUCUUCAGUUCGGCUGGACGAAACACAGGUGCUGCAUGGCUGUCGUCAGCUCGUGUCGUGAGAUGUUGGGUUAAGUCCCGCAACGAGCGCAACCCCUACUUUUAGUUGCCACCAUUUAGUUGGGCACUUUAAAAGAACUGCCAGUGAUAAGCUGGAGGAAGGUGGGGAUGACGUCAAGUCCUCAUGGCCCUUAUGUGUUGGGCUACACACGUGCUACAAUGGCACUUACAAUGGGAAGCAAAGAGGUGACUCUAAGCUAAUCCCAAAAAUGUGUCUCAGUUCGGAUUGUACUCUGUAACUCGAGUGCAUGAAGCUGGAAUUGCUAGUAAUCGCGGAUCAGCGCGCCGCGGUGAAUACGUUCCCGGGUCUUGUACACACCGCCCGUCACACCAUGGAAGUUGGUUACACCUUAAGGCAAAGCUUAUACCUUUGACUACGGUACGAUCAGCAACUGGGGUGAAGUCGUAACAAGGUAGCCGUA